This 865-nucleotide long non-coding RNA is filed under the name Gallus gallus (chicken). RNAcentral's name for it is "lncRNA (ENSGALG00010018691.1)". The record is from RNAcentral. Lineage: Eukaryota; Metazoa; Chordata; Aves; Galliformes; Phasianidae.
CCCAAAUGACAGAACUGCCAUCAAAUGACCACACUGGGCAGCAUAGCGACCUGAGGUCCCCCCUGGAGAGAUGCUGAUGCUGGACCCACAGCUGGCAGCCAUCAACGGGCAGUGUUCCAAACAAGGUACAAUUUCAGAGGUGACUUCAGUAACACAAAUGCAUCACCCGUGCUGCUUUUCAUUUUGCUUGGAAUGGCUAUGAUUGAAGUUACAUCAGAGGGCUUUUGCAGGCAGGAGUUGGAUCUUCACAGGAGGGAACCGCUGACUGAUGGCUUCCUUGCUAGUGCUGAGCAGGGGAUGGAGUCAGGAUCAGGAUGGAAGGACCUCACUCACCUUCAUGUUGCUCUUGCUGCUGUGAUUCUGCAGCUUGAGCUUCGAAGACAUGAAAAAGGCACUUGCACCUACAGUCAUGCUCUCCUUGAAGUAUCUCAUCAAUGGUUUUGCUUUCGGCAUACAAAGCGUGAGGGAUAUAAAUCAAAAGUGAUGAGAGGAGUGUGUGAAGCAGGCUAAUUCAUCACCAUUACUGGAGGAACUAAUAAAGCCCUCAGCAGCAGUCAUCUGCUGAGGGGUCCGGUGGGCUGACUGCACCUAUGGGACCCUUGACCUCAGCCCAAUGCUUGGCUAUAAAGAGAUAAAGCAUCUCAGCAGGAGACUCCAAGUUUGGCUGUGAGACCUCAGCCCGUAAGAGUUCCUCGGACUGACGUGGGUGGAGAGGCUGCGGUGAACGCUGAGGACACAGCGGAGGUUUUUUGGGGUCCCAGAAAUUUGGCGUGAGUGCCUCGAGCCGGGUCUGUUUCGUUUUAAAAGAGAACGUGAGCUGUUGGGCCUGGCGCCGUGGGAUGCUGACAGCACCUGGCAGAAGGGC